CAGCCGCACGGUAAUACAGAGGGUGCGAGCGUUAAUCGGAUUUACUGGGCGUAAAGCGUGCGUAGGCGGCUUCUUAAGUCGGAUGUGAAAUCCCUGAGCUUAACUUAGGAAUUGCAUUCGAUACUGGGAAGAUAGAGUAUGGGAGAGGAUGGUAGAAUUCCAGGUGUAGCGGUGAAAUGCGUAGAGAUCUGGAGGAAUACCGAUGGCGAAGGCAGCCAUCUGGCCUAAUACUGACGCUGAGGUACGAAAGCAUGGGGAGCAAACAGGAUUAGAUACCCGAGUAGUCCAUGUCUCUUAUACC
RNAcentral lists this ribosomal RNA (301 nucleotides) under uncultured bacterium. Its description in RNAcentral is "partial 16S ribosomal RNA". It matches the Rfam family "Bacterial small subunit ribosomal RNA", at positions 512 to 808 of the family's 1533-position model. The record is from RNAcentral.